This is a long non-coding RNA of Juglans regia (Persian walnut), 525 nucleotides long. RefSeq lists it as uncharacterized. The record is from RefSeq and is a predicted model, not a curated record. The transcript has 2 exons. NCBI's taxonomy places the organism in Eukaryota, Viridiplantae, Streptophyta, Magnoliopsida, Fagales, Juglandaceae.
UUUAAAAUCAAAAUCUUCUCACUCACAUCGCACAAACUUUUAGUGGUUCAGUGUUGAUAGAUUAGUUCCUCGUUUUGAAGUUCCAAAGAUAACUAGAGAUCAACAUUCAUGGUUAGAGGGAAGUUUACAGUAGCCUUCGAACUUACAGUAGAACGAAUUCUUGAUUGUACAACAACAGAUAUUAUACAGCAUGCAGAGCAGGUAAAAUUUAUACUUUCAGACACAUUUAACAAGUUUAACAAAUCAUUUUUUUAUAUGUUUUUGUCAUUACAGGAGGAUCAUUCGUACAUAGAGAACAUUACAAAUAGGAUUCAAGAUAAAGAGUGGAUGAUUGUUUUGGGUGCAUCUAUGAAUGAAUUUGGGAAACUACGCCAAAACAAACUUAAUGUAUUAUCUGUCAAUUACAUACCUGGGACAGCAAAAUAGCUAUUUCAAAAAUUUUCUUCUAGACUUCCAGUUAUUAUAAUGUAUAACUAUAAGAAAUUCAUAUGUAAUUAUGAGAUAGCUCUUACUUUUUAUUUGUAA